AGAUUGAACGCUGGCGGCAGGCCUAACACAUGCAAGUCGAGCGGCAGCACGGGUACUUGUACCUGGUGGCGAGCGGCGGACGGGUGAGUAAUGCCUAGGAAUCUGCCUGAUAGUGGGGGAUAACGUUCGGAAACGGACGCUAAUACCGCAUACGUCCUACGGGAGAAAGUGGGGGAUCUUCGGACCUCACGCUAUCAGAUGAGCCUAGGUCGGAUUAGCUAGUGUAGGUAAAGCCUACCAAGGCUACGAUCCGUAACUGGUCUGAGAGGAUGAUCAGUCACACUGGAACUGAGACACGGUCCAGACUCCUACGGGAGCAGCAGUGGGAAUAUUGGACAAUGGGCAAAGCCUGAUCCAGCCAAUGCCGCGUGUAGUGAAGAAGGUCUUCGGAAUUGUAAAGCUAACUUUAAGGUUGGGAGAAGGCAAUUAACCCAAUUACGUUAGUGUUUAGACGUUACGACAGAAUAAGCAACCGGCUAAACUCGUGUACGCCUAAGCAACGCCGU
This 506-nucleotide ribosomal RNA is filed under the name uncultured soil bacterium. RNAcentral describes it as "bacterial SSU rRNA". It matches the Rfam family "Bacterial small subunit ribosomal RNA", at positions 26 to 521 of the family's 1533-position model. The record is from RNAcentral.